RNAcentral lists this ribosomal RNA (253 nucleotides) under uncultured bacterium. RNAcentral describes it as "partial 16S ribosomal RNA". It matches the Rfam family "Bacterial small subunit ribosomal RNA", at positions 524 to 776 of the family's 1533-position model. The record is from RNAcentral.
UACGUAGGGUGCAAGCGUUAAUCGGAAUUACUGGGCGUAAAGCGUGCGCAGGCGGUUGUGCAAGACAGAUGUGAAAUCCCCGGGCUUAACCUGGGAACUGCAUUUGUGACUGCACGGCUAGAGUGUGUCAGAGGGGGGUAGAGUUCCACGUGUAGCAGUGAAAUGCGUAGAUAUGUGGAGGAAUACCGAUGGCGAAGGCAGCCCCCUGGGAUAACACUGACGCUCAUGCACGAAAGCGUGGGGAGCAAACAGG